CAGUCACCUGCACAGAGCCCUGUGAUAGUCCAAGACUGUUGCUAUGGGAGUGAUGUCACAGACAGACAACAAAUCACUGGCCUUUUCACCUCUGCCCUCUGGCUUUUUCCAUCCAAAAAGAACCCCACUCCUCUCCACAACGAGAGCAAGAUGAGCCCCACUGAUGGGGUCAAGGUAGGCAAAGUGCUGUCAGGUGUCCUUGGAAUCCUUGAGGAUACAAUUUUGGUCUCUCCUGCUGCUGCCAAAGGGGAGCAGGCAUUCAUCCACAUGCCUUGCCAAGGGGGAUCAGCACUUAAAAGAAAAUAAACUGGACUUGGAGAAUGUUAGAACUCUGGACUUGGAAUCAUCAGUCUGGCUUAGAAAAAGUUACCUAUACCACAUGGUUGCUGUGAGGUUCAAAUGAUCUAAGUCUCUCACGGGUCUCCAUCAUUUGAUGAAAGGUUAGAGAUCCAGUCCUGCCUGGAGCUGUCCUUGGUACAAGAUUACUCCAUCCUUUUCAGGUUUAGUUUUCUUCAUGUUACUCCCAUCCCAGUAAUAGAUCUUCUCUCCUCUCCAAGCCCUGACAGGAUCCCUUAUGAGAACUUGGUGGAGAUAUCAAUCAUAGGAAAGGAUCUUUGUCAGUAAGACCAGCAGUUAGCCACCUGCAGUAGGACAAACUAGACCAGGAAAAGACACUCAGCAUCAAGGCCUUGAUUGACACCUGUGUCAGAUCGUCAGCGUUUCAUACUUAACCCAAGAUCUUCAUACUUCACCAAUGAGGAAAUCGACUCUGAGAGUUUAAGGCAUUUCCAUAUUGCAUCAGAGACAGGAUUUGAACUGUCGUCACUAGACUCUAGCAUCAGACUCUUUCCACUUCAUACUUCACCAAUGAAGAAAUCGACCCUGAGAGUUUUAAGGCAUUUCCAUAUUGCAUCAGAGACAGGAUUUGAACUGUGGUCACUGGACUCUAGCAUCAGAGUCUUUCCACUCCACCACUGUCCAUUAAAUAAACAUCUUUUUUUCCUUCACUCUCAAUAGUCUUGUGAUCUCAUUGGCUCCCAUGGAGUCAGCUAUCUCUCUGCAGAUGCUUCCUAAAUCUAUAUUUCCAGCCCCAGUCUCUCUGCUGAGCUCAAA
Long non-coding RNA from Antechinus flavipes (yellow-footed antechinus), 1113 nucleotides. RefSeq lists it as uncharacterized. The transcript has 7 exons. The record is from RefSeq and is a predicted model, not a curated record. NCBI's taxonomy places the organism in Eukaryota, Metazoa, Chordata, Mammalia, Dasyuromorphia, Dasyuridae.